RNAcentral lists this non-coding RNA (30 nucleotides) under Rattus norvegicus (Norway rat). The record is from RNAcentral. Lineage: Eukaryota; Metazoa; Chordata; Mammalia; Rodentia; Muridae.
UCGGCAGAGAAGAUUCAGCAGCAGGUCAGC